This 1470-nucleotide long non-coding RNA is filed under the name Oreochromis niloticus (Nile tilapia). Its description in RNAcentral is "lncRNA (ENSONIG00000033623.1)". The record is from RNAcentral. Lineage: Eukaryota; Metazoa; Chordata; Actinopteri; Cichliformes; Cichlidae.
CAAAUAUUGAAAGCCUGGAGUUUCCGUUUCACACACAGCGAGGGAGGGAUGAGAGCAGUGAGAGAGCAGGCAGACAGAGCGGUGGAAGAGAGGGAAAAGCUAAAAUAAAUAAAUAAAUAAAUAAAAAAGACCAAGUGGGAUUAAGAGGAAAAACCCAGCAGUCACCCUGGGAGGGACACAUGUGAGGUGGGAUGGAGGGAGAGAUUGAGGAAAAGGGCCAGAGCAUCGAAAGUGGGAUAACUUUUACUCAGGCCGAAACAGUGACUCAGAGUUGUGGCAAAGACAGUGAUGAGUCACAAAGCCUCCAGGAACCAGAGGAGGAAGACCAGGCUGACGGAGGACACUAUGAUGGAGAUGGAGAGCCCAGCCAGGGUGCAGACGAUCAGUGCAGCGGUGCAGAAGCGUUACCAGACAGCACUCUGGUAGCCACAGACACCCAGGACGAUACUGGGUGCCUCCCAUCAUCCUCCCUACAGACAGAAGAAGAGUUGUCCCCCACUCCUGUGUUAUCUUAUCCCUCUAACACACACAAUCGCCCACCUGAACCCUGCUGGUACUGCUUGAGGUCUCUUGACUCAGAGUAUCGCCCUGAAACUACAAAACAGCAGGACGACUCUGAUCAUUUGUCACCGCUGCCCUCUAGUGGUCAAAAAGUGAGCUACCAAACAGACCCUCGGCCACACUUUGGUGUAGCUUGGUCGUCCCACUCGCCGUGUCACCCACUGUGGGGAAGCGAGGGGCCCUGCUGGGGUCAGAGAAACCAGGAAGUGCACUAUCAGACACACACCUGUCCACACUGCCAUCUGGGCUUGCCCCCUGACACACUACGCUGGCACGAGGUUUGGCUCAGACACAGCUAAGCACACAUAGACAUAAAUAGAUCAUCACUAAAGAUACCACAGUUUAUGGCACUCUGCUUUCUUUCUGUCUGCACAGGCAAAGUGUCUGCUGUUUGAAGAUCUGAGGAAGUCAAACAAAUAGAUGAAGAAAAUGUUCUUUUUUGUUAAUAAAAAUAGUGUCUGCUGUUUAAAUUAGAAUAUUCUCAGGAAGCUUUUAGUGUUUUAGUGUUGUGCAGUAUCUGCUUGUGCUAGUAAAUAUCUAUCUAUUUACACUUAAGCUUUGUCAUCACUAUUCCUCACUUAUUAUUGUAUUAUAUAUUAUUAUUUUUACUCAAUGUUGAAUUUCUGUGACGUUCAUUGAGCAAGGUGAAGUCAUUCGCUUCAUUUUCCUGGUCUACAUCCCUAUGUUAAAAUUAAGAUUGUUUAGAUCUUUUACAUUUAUUUUUUCAAUAAAUAAUGUUAGAAAUAGACUAAAGAAUGCACAAUGAUGCACUCACAUUCUCAUUUUAUUUUAACGAAAAUUUUUAACUUAGAUCUUUAGGCAAAACAUUCUUGGAUAGUCAUCUGGGGUAUUAUCAUACAUAUGUCUUGUCUGUUGGAUACACUGGCAAUAAAUUCACCAUUAGCACAG